UACGGAGGGUGCAAUCGUUGUUCGGAAUCAUUGGGCGUAAAGCGCGUGUAGGCGGCUUGGCAAGUCGGUUGUGAAAUCCCGGGGCCCAACCCCGGAACUGCAUUCGAAACUGCCUCGCUAGAGUCCCGGAGAGGAAGGCGGAAUUCCCGGUGUAGAGGUGAAAUUCGUAGAUAUCGGGAGGAACACCAGCGGCGAAGGCGGCCUUCUGGACGGUGACUGACGCUGAGACGCGAAAGCGUGGGGAGAAAACAGG
Molecule: ribosomal RNA, 253 nt
Filed under: uncultured bacterium
Lineage: Bacteria
Description: partial 16S ribosomal RNA
Rfam family: Bacterial small subunit ribosomal RNA
Source: RNAcentral